AAAUAUUAAGGUAUGAUUUGUUCCCAAAUCUAUUAUCUUCAACAAAUUUGUUUUCCAAAAUCUCCAAACUGCAAUUAUCUUGGAAGCCAAAACCUUCUCUCACGGGGAUAUACCAAAACACAUGGGGCAGAUUCACGCGCUGGAAAAUACAAAAUCGAAUACUGAAGCAUGGCAGAUGAUUGGAUUGCAGUGGACAAGCUCCUACACUUUCUCAUGUGUUUCGUCAUUGCCACUGUAUCUGCAUUCACAAUAAGACUCACACUCAAUCACACCAAAAUCUUGCACAGAUGGGCCGUUUGUGUGGGAUGCAUUCUAGCUCUCACGGCCGGGGCUGCCAAAGAAGUGGCGGAUGAAAUGGGCAUUUGGCCUUCUGCUGGUGCUUCCGUCAAAGACGCUAUUGCUGAUGGAGCAGGGGUUCUAUUUGCUGCACUCCUCUUGCAUUUCUUCAAACCCAAGGGAGCUAAACAAAUCAAUGAGGAGAUUCCUUUACACGGGCCUAUGAUUGUCUGAUGCCAACGGAAUUCGCAGUACUUUUAUGCUGCACCCAUUUGCUGAUUGUUUGUAUUCAAAUUGGUCUUAGAUCUGCUGGGUCUCAACCAAUAAACUAUUUCAAUUGGAGACGUGUUCAGGCACAGCACGGAGCAGUUGAGGGGUAGAGUUUUCAUUGCUCUCUCUCGGUUUUUCCUUUUUCCAUUGGGCGACUCAAUAACAUGCCACGAGAUGCCACUGAGAAGGCGGACAAGUGACCCAAAGUUGCCCAAGACUUAGCACCCAACCUUACCCUUUUGAUUCAGAUGCCAUGCAAUUCACUUGCUAGAUAGAUUAUUUUAUUUGAUGAGCUUUGUACUAUUAAACAGGGUCCUCUCAACAACUUUCGCUGACCAUUCUACAAGAUGGAGAUAUCCGCAUUGAUUCAAUUGGACCUGCAUAAGCUUUUCCAUCUUUACAUUGGAAUACCGGCUAAUGAAUGGUUUUGAGGCAUCUAAGAGGAUCCCAUUAAUAAUCUUGCCUUGGACCAACCUGAUGGAGAGUGAUAUCCUCAAUCAGUUCAAUAGAAUGGGGAGCAAUUUCUUAAAUUGCUACUGUGGAUAUUUCAAUCACGAUGGUUUAUAUUGUAUAAAAUGCAUCCUAAAUGGUAACCUGGCUGAUUGAACGGAAGUAUGUCAAACUCAACACUGGUCCAAUACGCAGUUCACACCAUAGUUUAAAUAAAGAGAUUGACAUAUCUUCACGAAAAGUGAUAGACAUGUGUAAGAAUCCAUGAUGAGCCCUACACCAUGCUUCGUAUACCAUAGAUAAUUUUUCUGUGAUGGCUGGACACCAGGAAAAGAUUUUGGGGAUGCGGUGGGAGGUAUUUAGCCGGAAUGUCUAGGGGGCUACAGAAACACGUGCCGAAUAGCCUCACGAUCUAUUGAAUACAGGGCCGUAACCAAGUUGCUCGAGUCUUGCACCCAGCCUUAUCUCUUUUAUUCACAUGUAAUUUGGAUGGGUAGAGUGGAGCUGGAAUAGAAAUCCGGUGGAUGAAAACACUGCUAUGAUGCACCAGUGAAUUGAUCUUUUUCUUUCUCUUCAAUUAAAGCUGCUCCCAGUUACAUAUUUUUACAAUUUAAUAGUAAACACUGCAAUAUAGCACAUGCAAUGUUCUAGUCAUUGAAUGCUUUACCAGAAGGAUUGUGACUAUAAAAUCAUUUAUAUCUAUCAGGAUUGGCUAGGGAGCUCCUCACGAUAGUCCCUAUGCAUCACAGGUACCAACAGGGUUUCAUGCUUUGUUACUUAAGCAUCCAUACCAGUUUCUGGUGAACAUCAGGGUUCGUCUCAAUACCAACUGAUUUUUACUACUACUAGUACAAGCUAAGAUUGAGAAUAAGGUAAUUGAAUUGGUGAUAAGCUGAUUUUGAAGCAUAUGAGGCAUAUGUGACAAAAAGUAGGAUGCCAAGCAUGAAGCAAUAAAUCAAGGUGGGAGAGACCAUUUUCAGGGUAUGAUGGUUAUGUUAGCUCUUGGAUGGGUAUAUUCAGCUUUAUGUGCUCAUUGUUUAAGUAUUUAGAAUUUUCUUUGCAAGUAUUAUAAUUUCUAAUUCCUUUUUCCUCACUGUUACUCGUUCG
This is a long non-coding RNA of Cryptomeria japonica (Japanese cedar), 2103 nucleotides long. RefSeq lists it as uncharacterized. Lineage: Eukaryota; Viridiplantae; Streptophyta; Pinopsida; Cupressales; Cupressaceae. The record is from RefSeq and is a predicted model, not a curated record. The transcript has 2 exons.